AAAACGACCGAGUAUCGAAAGCAAUGGUAACGAAAUAAGUUGACACCGCGUCUCGUCAAAACAUGUUCAAUUCGAAUUUAACUCGGAAUUACACGUUCAACGAGCAUUUGCUGUGAAACCUGAUUAAAGGAAAAUUACUGUAGACACCUAAUAGUUUACAUAUGUCAGCAAGUCCUCAAAAGCAGCUUUAGGGGUUCCCAGGAGAUUCUGAUGCUCACUGUUAGACUUUCACUGUCGUCAAAAUCCAACCUUAUUUUCUCUUUUCUCAAAACUUCAGCUCUCAAAAACUUGUUUGAUUAAUUAUGUCACUCCUGUUUUGUUGAACAUGGUGUUGUCAGCAAUAGGUUCAAGUUCUUCUAUGUCUUGUUGUAGGUGAUUUGUACAGAAGCGAGCCCCGGCAGGAAUGAUGGCCUCUUUUGAAAUGAAGAUUUCAUGCCUUACUCCUACUGGGACUACAACUAACUUUGGACCUGGUCACUCGCAGAUACAGCAUGAAGUGUGCCCUCUUGAUGUACAUGGGGAUGGGAGUGAUACAGAAGGGGGACUAAUUGGAAGAACUGCUGCUGGUGGUGGUGGUGCUGGACUGUCUUGAAUCUGUUGCCUAACCGACUUGAUAUUCUUCUGUUUAAUAUGGGAGCAACACACACACUCUGGCAUAUAUUGCACAGAAAAUCAUGAUCAGAUGGUGCCCUCCCUAUCAGAGUGGUGAUCACUGACCUAUAUUUCUUUGAAAUCCUGGAUCUGUGUUUUGGUUUUACUCUCCAUGGACAGUUGAAACAGAGAAAGAAUUAGGGACCACUCCUUGGCAUAUCUGAAAUAUUUAUGUCAUAUACAUGUAAUUAAAAUAUACAAUUUGGGUUGGAUGAAAAUCUUAUCUUCAUGUUAAAACCCAUUAGCCUAGGUUAUUUUUCCUAAAAUCUAAUUAUAAAUCAAUUAACUUGUUAAUUAAUGCUUGGUGAAUCAAUUAAUAAAUUGUAUUCAAGAACUUGGAAUUAUUUUUUUUCCCACUAAUAAACUGAAAAUGUGUAUCUUCAAAUGUUUUGUUGAUUAAUGUCAGUGUGACAUAUAGAGGGGGUAUGGGGUUUACAACAAUGUAUACAUGGUUAAUUUAUUUCUAUUAUGUAGUCCAUGUAAAUUUCUGUGGAAACGAGGAAGUUAUUUAUAUUCGGUCUUUCCUAUCCCGGGGUAGGAAAGACCGAAUAUAAAUAACCCCCUCGUUUCCACGGAAAUUAAGUCCACGAGAGCCUGAAAUCUCCCAACCUGGGUCUGUUUAAUGGACCCUUCCAAAGUCCUUUUUUAAGGAAAAAGUAAACCAUUUUCCUAAUCCAAAAAGAAAACUGGUGCAAAAACCAUGAAAUAAUAUAAAUAAUAGAAAAAUUAUCAGUAGUAUUGUAAUACAUUUUCGGGGGUGGGGGGGGGGGGGGGGGGUUGCCGUUUCACCUUUAUAGAUUUUUUUUUUUUCCUAACAUUUAAAACAUAUCUUUUCAAUAUCAAUUUUGUCUAUAGCACAAAAUAAAAAUUCUAAAAUCAAUUAAAGCGUUUGAUUUUCGUGUGUAUAUAUAAAACAAAACGAAAGAAAAAAAAACUAGGAUCCUCCACUAGUAAACUAUGUUUUCCAUUUAGAGUUAUUGCCCUUCAAUCGAAAAAACGUAAACAUAAUUAAGAGAAUACUCUACAUUUCAACACAAGUUUUGUCAAAUAUUAUUUAACAAGAUAUAUUUUGAUAUGUAUUUAAAUUGAUCUACUUCAUUAAAAACAAACUUUC
Molecule: long non-coding RNA, 1765 nt
Organism: Ostrea edulis (European flat oyster)
Lineage: Eukaryota; Metazoa; Mollusca; Bivalvia; Ostreida; Ostreidae
Exons: 2
Source: RefSeq, a predicted model, not a curated record